CUAGGAUACAGAUUUGGUGAGAACUGUACCAGUAGAGGCCACAUAUCACUCAUUAGACCAUUCCUGACCUAACCAGGCUCAUGUGGUGUUGAGAAUUUCAUAGGUCCAUUAUCAUGACUGCAAAUCAUGAAUCUCCACAACUGGGAGACAUGUUCAGGGGAUGACAACCCUAUGACCUGGGAGACCCCAUGCCACCAGGACCCUCCACAACAAGAGAGCUGAGGAACCUAAGCCAGCACCACCACCAUGACUCAAGGCACUUGAACUGGUCAGAAUGGCAGAUGAUGCAUCUGGUGAGGGGGAUUGUCUCCUGAUGAAUCUGGGUAACCCCACCUCCUCGCCCACCUUGCCUUGUCUGAUACUGCACCCGGAAACCUGGUGGGCACAGCAGAGAGAGAUUUACAUUUCCCCCCAUAUCCAACCCAGUUCUUAGUCUGUAGUGCACGCCAGGUCCACAUGCUCAUCCAGGAUAACCUCCUGGAUAGCUGUGGUCUUUGUAUUUAUGGACCUGGCACAUAAUAGCACCAGCUUCAGCCAAGGUGGGCUGCUGGGAGAGUUACUGGGGUCUCCUUGUAUGGGGGAAGGACUGGAGGGUGUCAUGGCUUUGAUAUAGCCACCGUGCCUUCACCUCACUGGCCAUGUCCUACCCCUACUGCCAUAUUGCCCUCUGCCAAGGGCCAUCUCAAUUGGAAAGGCCUCCUCCAAAGUAACAGCCCCCCCCAACACAUGUUUUGAAGUGCAACAUCUUAAUAA
Molecule: long non-coding RNA, 753 nt
Organism: Hemicordylus capensis (graceful crag lizard)
Lineage: Eukaryota; Metazoa; Chordata; Lepidosauria; Squamata; Cordylidae
Exons: 3
Source: RefSeq, a predicted model, not a curated record